RNAcentral lists this long non-coding RNA (503 nucleotides) under Triticum aestivum (bread wheat). RNAcentral describes it as "long non-coding RNA (TAES_LNC019333)". The record is from RNAcentral. Lineage: Eukaryota; Viridiplantae; Streptophyta; Magnoliopsida; Poales; Poaceae.
UGUCUCUCCUGCAGAUCGAAUCCAGCGCUGCCGCCAUCGCCGGGAAGCUCGCCUCCGCACCCGGGGCAGACGAGAUGCGGGGUAUGGGUUUAUUAGCCCCAGUAAAAUGACUUGCUCCCUUAGAAUUCUUCGCAUAAAGUCACGAACUGUAGUUCAAUAUAUUUUUUAUUUCUCUGAUACACCUCUCAUUAGAUAAAUGGAUCUGGAUCUGAAAAAUAUAUACUAAUGGUCAACAAAAGUAGAGUAGUCCCUUUGGAAAGGGCAAAAGGGAAUAAAAGCACGGCUAAAAUAUAUACCAUUCAUGCCCUGUCUCAACAAUUUCUGCAUCUCAUCAUAAUUAAAACAUGAUUCGCAUCUAAUCAGAACUAAAAACCAGUUAACAGCUCGAUCAAUGCCAGCAUUUAAAAUCUAAACACCCUACAAUCCUGUAAUGCAAUAACAAAGAAAAACUGAAUAGUGGUUGUCCCCCUUGAUUCUUCAACAUGUCCUCUCUUCUGCCUCCC